CCGUUCGUACUACGUUAAGUAAUAAUUAACAGACUGCCUAGUUCGUCGCAGAUUUCUCUAAUAAAAUGUGAAUGCGAAUAACAUUUUAUCCUUUUGGUUGUAUCUUAAUUUGUGAAAUAUAGUCGUUGGAAUAAUGAAAUAUAGAAUAAGCAAGGACUUUCGCUCGGUAAGUACUAGAACUAUCACGGUUUAAUGAAAUAACGAUGCUAGUUGAGAGGAUUAUGGGCUGCGAGAAUUGGAACUGAAAUCCAUUGUUACCUGCAUAAUUAAGACAUAAUAAUGAUCAAUGGCGGGCUGUUUUUCUCCGAAGUGUGCAUCAACGGUUCACCUAGUGGUGUUUCGUUGUGAGUGACUCCCAAUAAAUAACAUCAAAACAUUUGCGUCAUCGUGCUCGUGUAUAAGAAUCGUGUAUAAGUUCAGUAUUUUAUUUUGUAAAUCAAUGACGUCAGUAUUAAGUUAUCAACAUUGGCGAACAUCGUCCCGUUUAUUAUAAUAAUAUAUGCACAUUUUAAGUUCUUCGCUAAUUUAAUAUUUUAUUGCGAAUAAUUAUAACGUACCCGGAAUAGUAUUUUUUUAACAAUCGAAUGAGUUAUUCAGUGCGAAUGAUAUUUGCGAUAGCCUCGCUUGCCACGCCUACACUCCACGCAAAAACUGUUAGAUGCUAGGCGUUGGAGUGUGUGUACGAAGCAUUAAUUCACGAACUCUACAUUAUUCAAACAAUUAUCGUACUUUAUUUUUACGUGUGUAUGUAAAGUCGGCCACAGAAGUAACAAAUUCAAAACGUCAAAUCGCCUUCAUGUCGGCAUUGAGCUGUAUAAAAUUGUUCAAAUGAACUCUAUAUUUGAACACGUGCAUUUAAAUUAGCCUUGUACAUGAAAAAUACACAGACGUGAUACCAGAAUAUUUUUCACCACACAGUGUACUAUUUUAAUAAUAUUACAUUCACAUGUAUUUAAAUGCGUAGAAAAAACGAAACGCUCUGAAUGCGUCGACAAUAACUCUAUUUAAUUUCCAUACGGUGUAAAUUUAGAAGGGACAUUAGUUAUUGUUCCUUUUGUACGCCAUAAUGGUCUAUUUGAAUAAUUAAUCAUUCAGGAUUCUACAUACUCGCAUACAAGACACGUAACAAUUAAUGAUUUUGGAGAUACAGUGGUACGCCAAGUGACAAAUUAAGCUUGAUACAUACAUGAACAAAUGUAAGAUAGCUAGCAAUUUUAUUUAGCCACCGACUCCAAAAUUGGUAAUCAGCAUAUAUAGAUAAUGUUAAAUUAUUUUUUUGGUUUUUAGUGGUUUUUGAAGGCGGUUUUAUAGUUUGUUAAAAAGUUCUUAUUUUGAGGUCAGUUAUAAAAGUUUAACAGACAUCCUUUUAUAGUCUCAUGAACAUCGACUAAGGAUACUGUCCAUGUAGAGCAUCACUGCAUUGACGCACCUACGCGUGCUUGCAGAUUGCAUAUCGACAAGCUGCUACCUGAGCUUCGUCCAUGGAACGGCAACAUCUCAUUUUCCUAGCUGCAUGCUCGUUGCAAGCAUUCGGCAGACUGCAGCUUGACUGGUUUCACGGCAUUGCUCAAGCAUAUUGCACGCUGCAUAGACGUAAUUUACUUAUUAAAAUGGCAGCCUCGUCCUAUUUCGUUCAUAUUAUCGAACAAUAUCCUUGUUUAUACGAUAACAAAUUAGAAGAAUAUUUAAAAAAGACACCACGUAUAUGGCUUGUUGUGAGGUGGCACAGAAAACAAACACAUCCGUGAGUGAUUGUCAAAUGAAGCGGAAGAACAUAUGGAAUAGAUUUGCUCGGAGCCUAAAACCAACGCCAAGUGGUUCAUACACAAAACAAAAGCAAUUAUACUUUUUGCAUGAUGAGUUACAAUUUAUUGUAGGUUAUAUUGAAGCUUUUAUAUAUAAUAGUGAACCGGAUAAUGUAGUAACUGAUUCGUCCCUGGGCACUGAAGGAAUCAAAACAUUCUUUAAUUGACGAAAUACAAGCUCAUUCAUCAGAAAUGCUAUGUUCUAAACCAGUCUCAAACAAUUAUAAAAAAACUGAAAUUAUAAAAUUAGUAGAGGAGCGGGUCGAGCAUUAAUUGUCGAAAGGAUAAAUAAGAAAAAACCUAAAAAUGAGAGCCCAAGAAAAAUGUUUUAUUAAGUUUAUUGCCUUGUCAGAGGAACGAAUGCGCAAAUUUAUGUUGACGAUGUUAUUAUUACUUGAAGAAUUUCUAUAAUACAUAUUCCUAGUAUUAAAGUUUUUAUAAAACUGUUAAACUUGGAAUAUUUGUUAUCUUUAUAUUGUAAAUAUGUGUGUCCAUGUUAAGGUGUUUUAUUAAUAAAUAAUACAUUUUCUUCAUUUAUAUUCUAUUUUUAAUGGACUGACCUCAAAAUCACAAGUUCAAAAUUUUCUAUUUUGGUUCAUAAAUAUUGAACCUUCCAUUGAUGCCGCUCUUGCAGCAACAAACAAUUAUCAUUGAACGUUCUAUUUAUGAAUGAAGCUAAAAUAUUUCGUAGUUUACUAAUAUAACCGUAUGUUAUAAUUUAUUUUAAUUUUUAGAAUAACAUUUUCCCAAAAAAAUCUAUUGCGUAAUGCUCGACUUUUAGAAUUUAUCUAUAUUUGUAGCUUGAAAGAAAAUUAUAUGAGGAUAAAAGUAUAGAGUUGCGAUUCAAAAUAUAUCUGGUUUACUUAGCAUGCAACCUACAAAUUAAGCUGACGUUGUCAGAAGCUUUGAUAACUGUAAAAUGCCAUUUUACUUUGAAGCAAAAUGGCAAACUACUUUUACGCGUAUUUGCAUAACUUGAAAAGUGCCUGAGAAACCCAUUUGUGACAGUUAUUCGCCCUCUAUUCACGUAGAAAUAUGAAUGGAAGCUAUGAUUUAUAUUGCGUUUACUGUGAAUUUAAAAUCGGCAGGGUUGUAGUUUUUAUGAAUCGUUGUGGAAACUAAACGAAUGAUUUGAUUGAUGAAACUAUAUGAAACUGAAGUCUCAAGAUCAUGCCACAAGUAAAUCUGUGUAUACCAGCCAUUCUCAAUCCUUUGUUAAAAGGGCCACAAAAAAGUGUUAGGGAUUCCUUGGACCACAACGUAUAUUCAUGGACCUGGGGCCUAAAGUGAGCUGGUUCGUUAUUUCACAAGAAAUAACGAACCAGAAGGACAACCUUAAACACGACCAAUAUGUCACCACCAAAUAAGUUCAUUAUUAAAUUUCAAUAUAAUAUUUUAUCAGUCUUUAUCGUGCCAUUACCGUUGCAAUUGGUCUUAAACUGAGUCUGCUGUCUGACAGAAUAAGCAAUUAAAAACAAGUUAGUAUUUUUGUGACUGAUUUGAUCGUAAGUUUUAUGUUUUUAAUAAAGGAAUAUUGUUGAACCAUA
Molecule: long non-coding RNA, 3352 nt
Filed under: Manduca sexta (tobacco hornworm)
Lineage: Eukaryota; Metazoa; Arthropoda; Insecta; Lepidoptera; Sphingidae
Description: uncharacterized LOC119189468
Source: RNAcentral